CGGCGGAGAUUGAGGAGGAGGAGGAAUAUAUGGAGGAGGGGAGGGAGAGGGACGGCGUCGUUUAUUGAAAGGCUUAGUAAUUAAGGUUUUGACUCGUCUGCUCACCUUCUUGAGUACCAUUUUGAUUUUUGCUUAACGCGGAAUGGAUGAUUGGAUAGACUUUUUCUCUGCCAGUUGUCAGAGUGGUUUAGCCAUGCAAGCAAUUAGUGAUUUGAUUAGUUUAUGAUUUAGUGAGGAAAGGAAGUUUAUGGAGCAGUUGAUUAGUGGGUGGGUUGUCGGUUGUCUUUAUAAGGGAAAAUGGAGAUGAAGAUAAUGAUGCAGAGGAAGAUGGAGUAAGGUUGGAUUGUAAGUGAAGAAGAUAGCUAUAAUGGAGAUGAGGAUAAGGAUGCAGAGGAAGAUGGAGUAAGGUUGGAUUGUAAGGGAAGAAGAUAGCUAUUGGGUUUUGAUUGUAAGUAAAUUGUUGGGUUUGUAUAUAAGGAGGAGUAGAGUGCUUCUGUAUCUUUGAAACCUGGGAAGGUAUAUAUACAAAGGGUGUUUGGAAAGGAAGAGAAUCAUCGAAUACUCUGUUUUUGUUUUCU
This 578-nucleotide long non-coding RNA is filed under the name Linum usitatissimum (flax). RNAcentral describes it as "long non-coding RNA (LUSI_LNC008046)". The record is from RNAcentral. Lineage: Eukaryota; Viridiplantae; Streptophyta; Magnoliopsida; Malpighiales; Linaceae.